This 200-nucleotide ribosomal RNA is filed under the name uncultured bacterium. RNAcentral describes it as "partial 16S ribosomal RNA". It matches the Rfam family "Bacterial small subunit ribosomal RNA", at positions 328 to 539 of the family's 1533-position model. The record is from RNAcentral.
ACGCUCGACACCUAGGAGGCAGCAGUUAGGAAUAUUGGGCAAUGGAGGAAACUCUGACCCAGCAACGCCGCGUGAAGGAAGAAGGUUUUCGGAUUGUAAACUUCUGAUCUAGGGGAAGAAGGAAGUGACGGUACCCUAGGAGAAAGCCACGGCUAACUACGUGCCAGCAGCCGACGGUAAUCUGAGCGGGCUGGCAAGGC